UCGAGAAUCUUCCGCAAUGGGCGCAAGCCUGACGGAGCAAUGCCGCGUGAUUGAUGAAGGCCUUUGGGUUGUAAAGAUCUGUCACCUGGGACGAAAUUUGACGGUACCAGGAGAGGAAGUGACGGCUAACUACGUGCCAGCAGCCGCGGUAAUACGUAGGUCACGAGCGUUAAUCGGAUUUAUUGGGCGUAAAGGGUCCGCAGGGGGUUUAUUAAGUUUGAUGUGAAAUGCCGAGGCUCAACCUUGGAAGUGCAUUGAAAACUGAUGAACUAGAGUAUUUUAGAGGAAAGUGGAAUUUCUGGUGUAGCGGUGGAAUGCUUAGAUAUCAGAAGGAACAUCGAGAGCGAAGGCAGCUUUCUGGGAAAAGACUGACCCUCAUGGACGAAUGCGUAGGUAGCAAACA
Molecule: ribosomal RNA, 403 nt
Filed under: uncultured bacterium
Lineage: Bacteria
Description: partial 16S ribosomal RNA
Rfam family: Bacterial small subunit ribosomal RNA
Source: RNAcentral